AUUUAUUGAAAAGGACAAAUUUGCUAUCUUCAGAUCGGAAACAUUCGGAUUAUUAAAUUACUGUAUAAUUUUUUUAUGUUUAUGCGGGUAUAGUCAUCUUGGACUUGCCAAAAACCCGCUGCUGUUCGUUUCGUGGAUCCCGAUUCAAACUAGCUAGCAAUGAACACGGACGUCGAAUUUCACAUUAGGCAGAAUUAUCCGUGGAACAAGCUACCAGCAAAUGUCAAACAGAGUGUUGGGAACUCGCAGCGUGAAUAUGAGAAACAUGUGCAGUUGUACAGUAUCCGCAACCAGCUAAGGUUCCGCAAUAACCUAGUGAGACACGUGAGGAAGGAUGAGAGGAAGUACUACGAGGAGCUGCUGAAGUACAGCCGAGAUCACCUGAUGCUCUACCCCUACCACCUGUCAGACAUCAUGGUCAAAGGCCUCCGCAUCACCCCCUUCUCCUACUACAUCAGCAUCAUGGAGGACAUCAUGAAUGUAGAGAAGAGUUACGACUCGCUGCCCAACUUCACUGCUGCUGACUGUCUAAGACUGCUGGGCAUCGGGAGGAACCAGUAUAUAGACUUGAUGAACCAGUGCAGGUCCUCCAAGAAAUUCUUCCGUAGGAAAACAGCGCGAGACCUGCUGCCCUCCAAGCCAGUAGAGAUCUCUGUAGAGCCGUGGUGGGUGGCUCAGACCGGAUACAUCACAGAGGAUGACAUCAGGGUGAGUCUCUGUAGAGCCGUGGUGGGUGGCUCAGACCGGAUACAUCACAGAGGAUGACAUCAGGGUGAGUCUCUGUAGAGCCGUGGUGGGUGGCUCAGACCGGAUACAUCACAGAGGAUGACGUCAGGGUGAGUCUCUGUAGAGCCGUGGUGGGUGGCUCAGACCGGAUACAUCACAGAGGAUGACAUCAGGGUGAGUCUCUGUAGAGCCGUGGUGGGUGGCUCAGACCGGAUACAUCACAGAGGAUGACAUCAGGGUGAGUCUCUGUAGAGCCGUGGUGGGUGGCUCAGACCGGAUACAUCACAGAGGAUGACAUCAGGGUGAGUCUCUGUAGAGCCGUGGUGGGUGGCUCAGACCGGAUACAUCACAGAGGAUGACAUCAGGGUGAGUCUCUGUAGAGCCGUGGUGGGUGGCUCAGACCGGAUACAUCACAGAGGAUGACAUCAGGGUGAGUCUCUGUAGAGCCGUGGUGGGUGGCUCAGACCGGAUACAUCACAGAGGAUGACAUCAGGGUGAGUCUCUGUAGAGCCGUGGUGGGUGGCUCAGACCGGAUACAUCACAGAGGAUGACAUCAGGAUCUGCUCGGUGGCAGAGAGGAAGGCAAUUGAUAAGAUGAUCGAUUCAGGACCCCAGCUGGCCGGAUCAAUGGAGUACAAUGUGGUGCUGAGUGAGUGUUAUCUAUUCUCUGCUUCGUGUGUGUUCAUCCCACCAGGCUGCUAAAUGACAGUGUUGUGGGUGGAUGGUAAUCGUUAGCCAUCAGGGUGUCUUUGGUGUUAUUGGAAAACAAUUUAGUUUGAUUACAUGCCUCUCCUGUCAUUAUGGUCCAUUGUGGCUAUGACGAGAGAAUAACAGAUAGGAUUGGAGACAGGGGGAGA
RNA transcript from Salvelinus namaycush (lake trout), 1583 nucleotides. It is a transcript of the gene named protein FAM91A1-like, with no coding region annotated. The transcript is spliced from 7 exons. Lineage: Eukaryota; Metazoa; Chordata; Actinopteri; Salmoniformes; Salmonidae. The record is from RefSeq and is a predicted model, not a curated record.